This 1250-nucleotide long non-coding RNA is filed under the name Homo sapiens (human). Its description in RNAcentral is "HSALNT0198444". Lineage: Eukaryota; Metazoa; Chordata; Mammalia; Primates; Hominidae. The record is from RNAcentral.
UAAACUACUCUGCUUCUUGAGUGAGUCCGGGCUUUCAAUCAGGUCUGGGAUUUCUGCAUCUGUGCAGCACAUGGCCAUGUGUCACUUUGGACACGCUGCGUUGGAAAUUUCUCUCUCCUCUGUUUGUCUUCUUUGUACUUCCCUUCUUCUGACCUGGGACAGAAGUCUUCCAGGACUGUGCUGAGAUGCGUGCACACCGAGCGGUGUGUGUGUCAUGACGGUGGAUGGAGGAGGGAGGGAACCCACUGAGAUGCCUGAGCAUGGAAUCCAGGCUUCACACCUCCCAGACAGCCCCUUGACCUGCACGUCCUGGGCUGCUCUGCAGCACCUUGGGUCUCAGCCAGCCAGGUAUUGCAUCACUAUUAUUUUGGAGAAAAUAUUUUCCUACUAUCAAGAGGAGAUUUGGAUAGGAAAUCAGCACUGAUAUCCAGAGGUAGAUGCUAUUGUGAGCAACUGAAUGGAUCCAAGCACUCAUUCCUGGGCAUAUUUUAUUUUGGACUAAAUCAGAAAAAGAGGUUUAUUUGUGUACUUCAGUGAACACAUACUAGGUUUUAGGGAACUGCUAAUCUUUUGUUAAAAUUCAUGGUCUUCUGGGAUUACUUGGUUAUUCAUUACAGGUAUCAAAGCAGAAACUAAAUUCUGCUGUAUUGUGAAGCUUGGCUCAUUCAAUUGGAAAAAUCUUAAUGAUCAAGAGACCAUGUGUUUUUACUCAGAUAUGUUUUAUGACAUAGCUGUAAAAUCUUGUCUCAAAUAGACCUACCACAGCCUUGCAUUGUUUCACAGACAGUAAUAGGACUCACUUCUAAAAUGCCUUUGUAUUAAGUCAAAAAUACUGAUGAAAACUAGAGAGCUUCACACAGGAAUUAUUUAUGACUUUUUUAUUACUAACACAAGAUCUUAAAAAACACUGUGUGUUAGCUUGAAGUGUUAGCUUCAAGUCUGUAGAAAUUGUAGCAAUGGGUGUGUGACAGCCGUGGGCUGUUCAGAAGAGGCUGCCUGGGUCACUGUUAACAACUGUGCUUAAAGGGUUCUUCUUGGCACAAGAAAGUUCCAGAAGGAUGAAAGUGUGAUACGUUGGCUACCAAUCUAGAAAAAAAAAUUUUUCCAUAAUAUUUGAAGGGGGAAAUGGACUAAAUUGUGUUUUUGACUCAGACUGUCUUCCACAGAGAAAAAAAAGAAAGGCAUACCUUGAAAGUUGGAGAACUCUUGUCUUAAGGGGAAGAAGUUCUGUUAACUAUGACCACUUAAAC